AACGAACGCUGGCGGUAUGCCUAACACAUGCAAGUCGAACGACACCUCCGUGUCUGGUUGCGCAUAGGUGCGUCACGCGUGGGAACCUGCCCUUAUACUCGGAAUUCCUCUCCUUCGGGGGUGCUAAUGCCGGAUAACGUCUGCUAACCCCGCAUUUGUCGCACUUGGGUGGGCAGGCGUUGGUUUAGCUAGUUGGUAGGGUAAAAGCCGACCAAGGCGACGAUCCUUAGCUGGUCUGAGAGGAUGAGCAGCCACACUGGGACUGAGACACGGCCGAGACUCAUACGGGAGGCAGCAGUGGGGAAUAUUGGACAAUGGGCGAGAGUGUGAUCCAGCAAUGCCGCGUAAAUGAUGAAGGCCUUAGGGUUGUAAAGCUCUUUUACCCGGGAUGUUAAUGACAGUACCGGGAAGAUAAGCUCCGGCUAACUCCGUG
RNAcentral lists this ribosomal RNA (433 nucleotides) under uncultured bacterium. Its description in RNAcentral is "partial 16S ribosomal RNA". It matches the Rfam family "Bacterial small subunit ribosomal RNA", at positions 29 to 507 of the family's 1533-position model. The record is from RNAcentral.